GUCGUCAGCUCGUGUCGUGAGAUGUUGGGUUAAGUCCCGCAACGAGCGCAACCCUUAUUGCUAGUUACCAUCAUUAAGUUGGGGGACUCUAGCGAGACUGCCAGUGAUAAACUGGAGGAAGGUGGGGAUGACGUCAAAUCAUCAUGCCCCUUAUGACCUGGGCUACAAACGUGAUACAAUGGCUGAAACAAAGGGCAGCGAAGCAGUGAUGUGGAGCGAAACCCAAAAAGCAGUCUCAGUUCGGAUUGAAGUCUGCAACUCGACUUCAUGAAGUUGGAAUCGCUAGUAAUCGUAGAUCAGAACGCUACGGUGAAUACGUUCUCGGGGUUU
This 330-nucleotide ribosomal RNA is filed under the name uncultured Acholeplasma sp. RNAcentral's name for it is "bacterial SSU rRNA". It matches the Rfam family "Bacterial small subunit ribosomal RNA", at positions 1051 to 1382 of the family's 1533-position model. The record is from RNAcentral. Lineage: Bacteria; Bacillati; Mycoplasmatota; Mollicutes; Acholeplasmatales; Acholeplasmataceae.